UUACUCCUGGGGUGUUCGCCAGCCGACUAAUCCCUGAGCCGAUAAAUAUACCUGGAGUUCUCUCGUAUUACCCUGUGAGCACGUCCACUCGAUGGAAAGCCUAAUCGGUAACAGAGUCCUCCCCCUUGAACUGUCGGGUUCAAGGUAUAGUUGUCAGCGGCAUCCCAGGCUUUUA
RNAcentral lists this non-coding RNA (175 nucleotides) under Moraxellaceae bacterium. Its description in RNAcentral is "6S RNA". It matches the Rfam family "6S / SsrS RNA". From Rfam's summary of the family: E. coli 6S RNA was the first non coding RNA to be sequenced, but its function was unknown until recently. It consists of 184 nucleotides that fold into an extended hairpin structure with a large single-stranded internal bulge. Lineage: Bacteria; Pseudomonadati; Pseudomonadota; Gammaproteobacteria; Moraxellales; Moraxellaceae. RNAcentral also lists the same sequence under 1 other name. The record is from RNAcentral.